CAGCAGCCGCGGUAAUACGAGGGGGGCAAGCGUUGUUCGGAAUUAUUGGGCGUAAAGGGUGCGUAGGCGGUUUGACAAGUCAUCUGUGAAAUCUAUGGGCUCAACCCAUAGUCUGCAGGCGAAACUGUCGGGCUUGAGUAUUGGAGAGGUGAGUGGAAUUUCCGGUGUAGCGGUGAAAUGCGUAGAUAUCGGAAGGAACACCUGUGGCGAAAGCGGCUCACUGGACAAUAACUGACGCUGAGGCACGAAAGCUAGGGGAGCAAACAGGAUUAGAUACCCGAGUAGUCCCUGUCUCUUAUAC
Molecule: ribosomal RNA, 301 nt
Filed under: uncultured bacterium
Lineage: Bacteria
Description: partial 16S ribosomal RNA
Rfam family: Bacterial small subunit ribosomal RNA
Source: RNAcentral